CUACGGGAGGCUGCAGGCGCGGAACCUUUACAAUGCACGCAAGUGUGAUAAGGGAACCCUCAGUGCUCAUGUUUUACAUGGGCUUUUGCCAAGAGUAAAUAUCUUGGCGAAUAAGUGGUGGGUAAGACUGGUGCCAGCCGCCGCGGUAACACCAGCGCCACGAGUGACAACCACGUGUUAUUGGGCCUAAAGCGUCCGUAGUCGGUUUGGUAAAUCUCUUGUGAAAUCGUCAGGCUUAACCUGACGGCGCGCUCGAGACACUACUUUACUUGAGACCGGGAGGAGUGAGAGGUAUUCCUGAGGGAGCGGUAAAAUGUGAUAAUCUCAGGAGGAUCACCUAUGGCGAAGGCAUCUCACCAGAACGGAUCUGACGAUCAGGGACGAAGGCUAGGGGAGCGAUCCGGAUUAGAUACCCCAGUAGUC
RNAcentral lists this ribosomal RNA (423 nucleotides) under uncultured archaeon. RNAcentral's name for it is "partial 16S ribosomal RNA". It matches the Rfam family "Archaeal small subunit ribosomal RNA", at positions 323 to 746 of the family's 1478-position model. The record is from RNAcentral.